RNAcentral lists this microRNA precursor (117 nucleotides) under Drosophila yakuba. RNAcentral's name for it is "Dya-Mir-4969_pre stem-loop". Lineage: Eukaryota; Metazoa; Arthropoda; Insecta; Diptera; Drosophilidae. The record is from RNAcentral.
CGGUAAAUUGAAUGAUGAGUGGGAGGAUGUCGCAGCCAUUGUUUGGCUGAUAAGGGAGCCUGGCGCACUAUUACCUGGCCCUCUGAAACGAGAGCCCACCUGUCAAUCAAUACCACC